Molecule: ribosomal RNA, 258 nt
Filed under: uncultured bacterium
Lineage: Bacteria
Description: partial 16S ribosomal RNA
Rfam family: Bacterial small subunit ribosomal RNA
Source: RNAcentral
UACGUAGGGCGCAAGCGUUGUCCGGAAUUAUUGGGCGUAAAGAGCUCGUAGGCGGUCUGUCGCGUCGGCUGUGAAAACCCGAGGCUCAACCUCGGGCCUGCAGUCGAUACGGGCAGACUAGAGUGCUGUAGGGGAGACUGGAAUUCCUGGUGUAGCGGUGAAAUGCGCAGAUAUCAGGAGGAACACCGGUGGCGAAGGCGGGUCUCUGGGCAGUAAACUGACGCUGGAGGAGCGAAAGCCGUGGGGGAGCGAACAGGA